Molecule: ribosomal RNA, 429 nt
Filed under: Chloroflexota bacterium
Lineage: Bacteria; Bacillati; Chloroflexota
Description: Chloroflexi bacterium partial 16S ribosomal RNA
Rfam family: Bacterial small subunit ribosomal RNA
Source: RNAcentral
UGGGGAAUAUUGCACAAUGGGCGCAAGCCUGAUGCAGCCAUGCCGCGUGUGUGAAGAAGGCCUUCGGGUUGUAAAGCACUUUCAGCGGGGAGGAAGGCGAUAAGGUUAAUAACCUUGUCGAUUGACGUUACCCGCAGAAGAAGCACCGGCUAACUCCGUGCCAGCAGCCGCGGUAAUACGGAGGGUGCAAGCGUUAAUCGGAAUUACUGGGCGUAAAGCGCACGCAGGCGGUCUGUCAAGUCGGAUGUGAAAUCCCCGGGCUCAACCUGGAAACUGCAUUAGAGAAUGGCAGGCUAGAGUCGUGUAGAGGGGGGUAGAAUUCCAGGUGUAGCGGUGAAAUGCGUAGAGAUCUGGAGGAAUACCGGUGGCGGAGGCGGCCCCCUGGACAAAGACUGACGCUCAGGUGCGAAAGCGUGGGGAGCAAACAGG